This 271-nucleotide ribosomal RNA is filed under the name uncultured bacterium. RNAcentral's name for it is "partial 16S ribosomal RNA". It matches the Rfam family "Bacterial small subunit ribosomal RNA", at positions 524 to 794 of the family's 1533-position model. The record is from RNAcentral.
UACGGAGGGUGCAAGCGUUGUUCGGAAUUAUUGGGCGUAAAGGGCGUGUAGGUGGCACUCCAAGUCUGUUGUGAAAGCCCACGGCUCAACCGUGGAACUGCAAUGGAAACUGGGGCGCUCGAGUAUUGGAGGGGGUCGCGGAAUUCCCGGUGUAGAGGUGAAAUUCGUAGAUAUCGGGAGGAACACCAGUGGCGAAGGCGGCCACCUGGACUGAUACUGACACUGAGGUGCGAAAGCGUGGGGAGCAAACAGGAUUAGAAACCCGUGUAGU